This 113-nucleotide ribosomal RNA is filed under the name Eugenia hiemalis. RNAcentral's name for it is "partial 18S ribosomal RNA". It matches the Rfam family "Eukaryotic small subunit ribosomal RNA", at positions 1720 to 1831 of the family's 1831-position model. The record is from RNAcentral. Lineage: Eukaryota; Viridiplantae; Streptophyta; Magnoliopsida; Myrtales; Myrtaceae.
ACGUGGGCGGUCCGCCUCCGAUGACGUCGCGAGAAGUCCACUGAACCUUAUCAUUUAGAGGAAGGAGAAGUCGUAACAAGGUUUCCGUAGGUGAACCUGCGGAAGGAUCAUUG